CCGCCGGCGACCGGCGCACGGGUGAGUAACGCGUAUGCAACCUGCCCGUUUCAGCGGGAUAACCCGGAGAAAUCCGGCCUAAUACCGCAUGUGGCCGAGGGGAGGCAUCUUCUUUCGGCCAAAGGAGGCGACUCCGGAGACGGAUGGGCAUGCGUGACAUUAGCUUGUUGGCGGGGUAACGGCCCACCAAGGCGACGAUGUCUAGGGGUUCUGAGAGGAAGGUCCCCCACACUGGUACUGAGACACGGACCAGACUCCUACGGGAGGCAGCAGUGAGGAAUAUUGGUCAAUGGACGCAAGUCUGAACCAGCCAUGCCGCGUGCAGGAUGACGGCUCUAUGAGUUGUAAACUGCUUUUGUACGAGGGUAAACCCCGAUACGUGUAUCGGGUUGAAAGUAUCGUACGAAUAAGGAUCGGCUAACUCCGUGCCAGCAGCCGCGGUAAUACGGAGGAUCCGAGCGUUAUCCGGAUUUAUUGGGUUUAAAGGGUGCGUAGGCGGAAUAUCAAGUCAGCGGUAAAAAUUCGGGGCUCAACCCCGUCGUGCCGUUGAAACUGAUGUUCUUGAGUGGGCGAGAAGUAUGCGGAAUGCGUGGUGUAGCGGUGAAAUGCAUAGAUAUCACGCAGAACUCCGAUUGCGAAGGCAGCAUACCGGCGCCCAACUGACGCUGAAGCACGAAAGCGUGGGUAUCGAACAGGAUUAGAUACCCUGGUAGUCCACGCAGUAAACGAUGAAUGCUAAUUGUCCGGAGGGAUUGACCUCUGGGUGAUACAGCGAAAGCGU
RNAcentral lists this ribosomal RNA (781 nucleotides) under uncultured bacterium. RNAcentral describes it as "bacterial SSU rRNA". It matches the Rfam family "Bacterial small subunit ribosomal RNA", at positions 85 to 860 of the family's 1533-position model. The record is from RNAcentral.